This 254-nucleotide ribosomal RNA is filed under the name uncultured bacterium. RNAcentral's name for it is "partial 16S ribosomal RNA". It matches the Rfam family "Bacterial small subunit ribosomal RNA", at positions 524 to 776 of the family's 1533-position model. The record is from RNAcentral.
UACGGGGGGGGCAAGCGUUGUUCGGAAUUACUGGGCGUAAAGGGCUCGUAGGUGGCCAACUAAGUCAGACGUGAAAUCCCUCGGCUUAACCGGGGAACUGCGUCUGAUACUGGAUGGCUGGAGUAUGGGAGAGGGAUGCGGAAUUCCAGGUGUAGCGGUGAAAAUGCGUAGAUAUCUGGAGGAACACCGGUGGCGAAGGCGGCCCACUGGAUCGGUACUGACGCUGAGGUGCGAAAGCGUGGGGAGCAAACAGG